UCACACCUUACGGUGGCAGUCUCGCUAGAGUUCCCAGCAUUACCUGAUGGCAACUAACGACAAGGGUUGCGCUCGUUAUGGCACUUAAGCCGACACCUCACGGCACGAGCUGACGACAACCAUGCAGCACCUCGAUACAGACUAUUGCUAGCUAUGACAUCUCUGUCAUAUUCCUGCACCGUUCGAGCCCGGGUAAGGUUCCUCGCGUAUCAUCGAAUUAAACCACAUGUUCCUCCGCUUGUGCGGGCCCCCGUCAAUUCCUUUGAGUUUCAACCUUGCGGUCGUACUCCCCAGGUGGAUAACUUAUCGCUUUCGCUUGGCUACCGACUGUGUAUCGCCGACAGCGAGUUAUCAUCGUUUACAGUGUGGACUAC
This 374-nucleotide unclassified non-coding RNA is filed under the name uncultured Rikenellaceae bacterium. RNAcentral's name for it is "contains 16S-23S intergenic spacer region". Lineage: Bacteria; Pseudomonadati; Bacteroidota; Bacteroidia; Bacteroidales; Rikenellaceae. The record is from RNAcentral.